UCCUAUUCCACAGUGAAAUCUGAGGUUGCCUUUAAACUACAACAAAGGAACUGGUGAUGCUGCCAUUGUGUGGCCUCUUACGAUAUAUUUUUGGACCUGUUACUAGAUGGCACACGCAUUAGCUGCCAUAAGAAACAAAUCAUUUUUUAUUUUAAUAUGUCAGCUGAGACGCGUUUGACUACCUUCUUACUUAUUAUGCAGGGCACCAAGUAACGAAUAAUUGGAUCUCAAAGCUCAUAUAUGAAGCACCGAUCUUGGUAGUGGCAUAAAUGGAAGAUGAGAUCUAUGAAUAACAAAUACAAUAAUUACCUGUAGUUUCUAUAAUUUUCAAAGUUUGUAUUCUCUUCAAGAUUUUCAGUCGUUCAAGCUCACAAAUAAGAUACAUAUGGGCAUCAAUUCUAUCAGGUUUUUACACACAUGC
Molecule: ribosomal RNA, 421 nt
Filed under: Triticum aestivum (bread wheat)
Lineage: Eukaryota; Viridiplantae; Streptophyta; Magnoliopsida; Poales; Poaceae
Description: partial small subunit ribosomal RNA
Source: RNAcentral